GAUGAACGCUGGCGGCGUGCCUAACACAUGCAAGUCGAACGAAGCACUUUGAAGUUUUCGGACAGAUGGGUGACUGAGUGGCGGACGGGUGAGUAACGCGUGGGUAACCUGCCCUAUACAGGGGGACAACAGUUGGAAACGGCUGCUAAUACCGCAUAAGCGCACAGUACUGCAUGGUACAGUGUGAAAAACUGAGGUGGUAUAGGAUGGACCCGCGUCUGAUUAGUUAGUUGGUGGGGUAACGGCCUACCAAGGCGACGAUCAGUAGCCGACCUGAGAGGGUGAUCGGCACAUUGGGACUGAGACACGGCCCAGACUCCUACGGGAGGCAGCAGUGGGGGAUAUUGCACAAUGGAGGAAACUCUGAUGCAGCAACGCCGCGUGAGGGAAGACGGUCUUCGGAUUGUAAACCUAAGUUAACAGGGACGAUAAUGACGGUACCUGAAGAGAAAGCUCCGGCUAACUACGUG
RNAcentral lists this ribosomal RNA (470 nucleotides) under uncultured bacterium. Its description in RNAcentral is "bacterial SSU rRNA". It matches the Rfam family "Bacterial small subunit ribosomal RNA", at positions 28 to 507 of the family's 1533-position model. The record is from RNAcentral.